AGACUUUGCGAGGCGCCUCCUUGUGCCAAAAUAUGCCGAGGACACAUCCGUGCCCAAAAAUAACCGCCCGAAGGCCGGGGCGGCAAGUUCGUCCCGCGGAAAAAGCCCACAAAAACGGGUGGGUUAUAGCCUUGGGGGGUGGGGCUGGCCGACUUCGUCCGCCGGACUCGGAAUGGCGCGAGACUUUGCGAGGUGCCUUCGUGUGCCAAAAAUAGGCCGCGGGCACAGCCGCGCCUAAAAAUAACCGCCCGAAGGCCGGGGCGCCAAGUUCGUCCAGCGGAAAAAGCCCACAAAAACGGGUGGGCUAUAGCCUUGGGGGGUGGGGCUGGCCCACUUCGUCCGCCGGACUCGGAAUGGCGCGAGACUUUGCGAGGCGCCUUCGUGUGCCAAAAAUAGGCCGCGGGCACUGCCGCGCCUAAAAAUAACCUCCCGAAGGCCGGGGCGCAAAGUUCGUCCAGCGGAAAAAGCCCACAAAAACGGGUGGGCUAUAGCUUUGGGGGGUGGGGCGGGCCCACUUCUUCCGCCGGACUCGGAAUGGCGCGAGACUUUACGAGGGGCCUGCGUGUGCCAAAAAUAGGCCGCGGGCAAAGCCGCGCCCAAAAAUAACCGCCCGAAGGCCGGGGCGCCAAGUUCGUCCAGCGGAAAAAGGCUACAAAAACGGGUGGGCUAUAGCCUUGGGGGGUGGGGCUUGCCAACUUCGUCCACCGGACUCGGCAUGCCGCGAGACUUUGCGAAGGGCCUCUGUGUGCCAAAAAUAGGCCGCGGGCUAACCGCGCCCAAAAAUAACCGCCCGAAGGCCGGGGCGUCAAGUUCGUCCAGCGGAAAAAGGCCACAAAAACGGGUGGGCUAUAGCCUUGGGGGGUGGGGCUGGCCAACUUCGUCCGCCGGACUCGGAAUGCCGCGAGACUUUGCGAGGGGCCUCCGUGUCCCACAAAUAGGCCGCGGGAGAAGCCGUACCCAAAAAUAAGCGCCUGAAGGCCGGGUCGCCAUGUUCGUCCAGCGGAAAAAGGCCACAAAAACGGGUGGGCUAUAGGCUUGGGGGGUGGGGCUGGCCGACUUCGUCCGCCGGACUCAGAAUGCCGCGAGACUUUGCAAGGGGCCUCCGUGUGCCAAACAUAGGCCGCGGGAGAAGCCGUACCCAAAAAUAAGCGUCUGAAGGCCGGGUCGCCAUGUUCGUCCAGCGGAGAAAGGCCACAAAAACAGGUGGGCUAUAACCUUGGGGGGUGGGUCUGGCCAACUUCGUCUGCCGGACUCGGAAUGCCGCGAGACUGCGAGGGGCCUCCGUGUGCCAAAAAUAGCUGCGGGCAAAGCCGCGCCAAAAAAUAACCAACCGAAGGCCGGGGCGCCAAGUUCGUCCAGCGGUAAAAGGCCACGAAAACGGGUGGGCUAUAGCCUUGGGGGGUGGGGCUGGCCCACUUCGUCCGCCGGACUCGGCAUGCCGCGAGACUUUGCGAAGGGCCUCCGUGUGCCAAAAAUCGGCCGCGGGCUAACCGCGCCCAAAAAUAACCGCCCGAAGGCCGGGGCGCCAAGUUCGUCCAGCGGAAAAAGGCCACAAAAACGGAUGGGCUAUAGCCUUGGGGGGUGGGGCUGUCCAACUUCGUCCGCCGGACUCGGAAUGCCGCGAGACUUUGCGAGGGGCCUCCGUGUGCUAAAAAAAUGGCCGCGGACAAAGCCGCACCCAAAAAUAACCGCCCGAAGGCCGGGGCGCCAUGUUCGUCCAGCGGAAAAAGGCCACAAAAACGGGUGGGCUAUAGCCUUGGGGGGUGGGGCUGGCCGACUUCGUCCGCUGGACUCAGAAUGCCGCGAGACUUUGCAAGGGGCCUCCGUGUGACAAAAAUAGGCCGCGGGCAAAGCCGCGCCAAAAAAUAACCGCCCGAAGUCCGGGGCGCCCAGUUCGUCCAGCGGAAAAAGGCCACAAAAACGGGUGGGCUAUAGCCUUGGGGGGUGGGGCUGGCCAACUUCGUCCGCCGGACUCGGAAUGCCGGGAGACUUUGCGAGGGGCCUCCGUGUGCAAAAAAUAGGCCGCGGGCAAACCGCACCCAAAAAUCACCGCCCGAAGGCCGGGACGUCAAGUUCGUCCAGCGGAAAAAGGCCACAAAAACGGGUGGGCUAUAGCCUUGGGGGGUGGGGCUGGCCAACUUCGUCCGCCGGACUCGGAAUGCCGCGAGACUUUGCGAGGGGCCUCCGUGUCCCAAAAAUAGGCCGCGGGCAAAGCCGUACCCAAAAAUUACCGCCCGAAGGCCGGGUCGCCAUGUUCGUCCAGCGGAAAAAGGCCACAAAAACGGGUGGGCUAUAGCCUUGGGGGGUGGGGCUGGCCAACUUCAUCCGCCGGACUCGGAAUCCCGGGACACUUUGCGAGGGGCCUCCGUGUCCCAAAAAUAGGCCGCGGGCAAACCGCACCCAAAAAUAACCGCCCGAAGGCCGGCACGUCAAGUUCGUCCAGCGGAAAAAGGCCACAAAAACGGGUGGGCUAUAGCCUUGGGGGGUGGGGCUGGCCCACUUCGUCCCCCGGACUCGGAAUGCCGCNNNNNNNNNNNNNNNNNNNNNNNNNNNNNNNNNNNNNNNNNNNNNNNNNNNNNNNNNNNNNNNNNNNNNNNNNNNNNNNNNNNNNNNNNNNNNNNNNNNNCUCCGUGUCCCAAAAAUAGGCCGCGGGCAAAGCCGCACCCAAAAAUAACCGCCCGAAGGCCGGGUCGCCUUUUUCGUCCAGCGGAAAAAGGCCACAAAAACGGGUGGGCUAUAGCCUUGGGGGGUGGGGCUGGCCGACUUCGUCCGCCGGACUCAGAAUGCCGCAAGACUUUGCGACGGGCCUCCGUGUGCCAAAAAUAGGCCGCGGGCAAACCGCGCCCAAAAAUAACCCCCGAAGGCCGGGGCGUCAAGGUCGUCCAGCGGUAAAAGGCCACAAAAACGAGUGGGCUGUAGCCUUGGGGGGUGCGGCUGGCCAACUUCGUCCGCCGGACUCAGAAUGCCGCGUGACUUUGUAUGGGGCAUAUGUGUGCCAAAAAUAGGCCGCGGGCGAAGCCGCACCCAAAAAUUACCGCCCGAAGGCCGGGUCGCCAUGUUCGUCCAGCGGAAAAAGGCCACAAAAACGGGUGGGCUAUAGCCUUGGGGGGUGCGGCUGGCCCACUUCGUCCGCCGGACUCGGCAUGCCGCGAGACUUUGCGAGGGGCCUCCGUGUGCCAAAAAUAGGCCGCGGGCAAAUCGCGCCCAAAAAUUACCGCCCGAAGGCCGGGGCGUCAAGUUCGUACAGCGGAAAAAGGCCACAAAAACGGGUGGGCUAUAGCCUUGGGGGGUGGGGCUAGCCAACUUCGUCCGCCGGACUCGGAAUGCCGCGAGACUUUGCGAGGGGCCUCCGUGUCCCAAAAAUAGGCCGCGGAUGAAGCCGCACCCAAAAAUAACCGCCCGAAGGCCGGGGCGCCAAGUUCGUCCGGCGGAAAAAGGCCACAAAAACGGGUGGGCUAUAGCCUUGGGGGGUGGGGCUGGCCAUCUUCGUCCGCCGGACUCGGAAUGCCGCGAGACUUUGCGAGCGAUCUCCAUGUGCCAUAAAUAAUCCGCGGGCAAAGCCGCGCCUAAAAAUAACCACCCGAAGGCCGGGGCGCCAAGUUCGUCCAGCGGUAAAAGGCCACAAAAACGGGUGGGCUAUAGCCUUGGGGGGUGGGGCUGGCCCACUUCGUCCGCCGGACUCGGCAUGCCGCGAGACUUUGCGAGGGGCCUCCGUGUGCCAAAAAUAGGCCACGGGCAAACCACGUCCAAAAAUAACCGCCCGAAGGCCGGGACGCCAAGUUCGUCCAGCGGAAAAAGGCCACAAAAACGGGUGGGCUAUAGCCUUGGGGGGUGGGGCUGGCCAACUUCGUCCGCCGGACUCGGAAUGGCGCGAGACUUUGUGAGGGGCCUCCGUGUGCCAAAAAUAGGCCGUAGGCACAGCCACGCCCAAAAAUAACCGCCCGAACGCCGGGGCGCCAUGUUCGUCCAGCGGAAAAAGGCCAAAAAAACGGGUGGGCUAUAGCCCUGGGGGGUGGGGCUGGCCAACUUCGUCUGCCGGACUCAGAAUUCCGCGAGACUUUGCGAGGGGCCUCCGUGUGCCAAAAAUAGGCCGCGGACAAAGCCGCGCCCAAAAAUAACCACCCGAAGGCCGGGUCUCCAAGUUCGUCCAGCGGAAAAAGGCCACAUAAACGGGUGGGCUAUAGCCUUGGGGGGUGGGGCUGGCCGACUUCGUCCGCCGGACUCAGAAUGCCGCGAGACUUUGCGACGGGCCUCCGUGUGCCAAAAAUAGGCCGCGGGCAAAGCCGCGCCGAAAAAGAACCGCCCGAAGGCCGGGGCGCCAAGUUCGUCCGGCGGAAAAAGCCCACAAAAACGGGUGGGCUAUAGCCUUGGGGGGUGGGGCUGGCCAUCUUCGUCCGCCGGACUCGGAAUGCCGUGAGAGUUUACGAGGGAUCUCCGUGUGC
Molecule: long non-coding RNA, 4442 nt
Filed under: Citrus x clementina
Lineage: Eukaryota; Viridiplantae; Streptophyta; Magnoliopsida; Sapindales; Rutaceae
Description: Citrus clementina (C. clementina) long non-coding RNA (CCLE_LNC006246)
Source: RNAcentral